Momordica charantia (bitter melon) is the source of this 576-nucleotide non-coding RNA. The record is from RefSeq and is a predicted model, not a curated record. Lineage: Eukaryota; Viridiplantae; Streptophyta; Magnoliopsida; Cucurbitales; Cucurbitaceae.
GACAGUUUGUGGACUGUCUCUAUAUAUUUCUCCACUCUCUGAAGCCUUUCAUUCUAUCCAAAAAAAAAAAUCCAAAAAAACUGCCGCAUCUCCCUCAGAGCUGGAGUUAUUGAAUCAAGCUGCUCUUUCAAAGUUCCCGCCAUCUUUUCUGGCUGAUCAGACACGUCCAAUCAACACAAACAAUUGGGUUUAGAGGAUAAUCAUGGCGUACCCGUCCAGGAAGAGAACGUUCUCCAAGGGACAAGAGAAGUUGGGUAAACUCAGCCUCAGCUUCUGCAAGUUCCUGAUGGAGUCGAGCUCUCGACACAUUCGCACCAUCAACUUUUUUCCGAGUCAAUCUUGUGGCAGAAGGCUGAAAGUAGGAGUGGAGAGAGGUUGGAGAUACCAAAAGUGUGAAGGACUCAAUGGAUUGAUAAAGACAUUCUCGUAAGUGACUUCACAGCUUGAAGAACUUAGAAGACAGAACUUGUAAACAUAUAAAAUUUAGAUAAGAAAAAAAAAAUAUAUAACUUGCUUGGUACUUACAAAUUUUACCCAUUACAACUUUCGAGUAAAAAAUCACAUAAAUAACUAAAA